AUUGAACGCUGGCGGAAUGCUUUACACAUGCAAGUCGAACGGCAGCACGGGGGCAACCCUGGUGGCGAGUGUCGAACGGGUGAGUAAUACAUCGGAACGUGCUCGGCCGUGGGGGAUAACGUAGCGAAAGAUACGCUAAUACCGCAUACGAUCUGAGGAUGAUAGCGGGGGACCUUUGGGCCUCGCGCGAUGGGAGCGGCCGAGGCCAGAUUAGUUAGUUGGUGGGGUAAAGCCCUACCAAGCCGACGAUCUGUAGCUGGUCUGAGUGGGCGACCAGCCGCCCUGGGACUGAGACACGGCCAAGAGUCCUACGGGAGGCAGCAGUGGGGUAUUUUGGACAAUAGGCGGAAGCAUGAUCCAGCCGUACCGCGUGCGGGACGAAGGCCUUCGGGUUGUAAACUGCGUUUGUAUGGAGCGAAAAGGCUUUGGCUAAUACCUGGGGCUCAUGACGGUACCGUAAGAAUAAGCACCGGCUAACUACGUG
Molecule: ribosomal RNA, 484 nt
Filed under: uncultured bacterium
Lineage: Bacteria
Description: partial 16S ribosomal RNA
Rfam family: Bacterial small subunit ribosomal RNA
Source: RNAcentral